This 395-nucleotide transfer-messenger RNA is filed under the name Patescibacteria group bacterium. It matches the Rfam family "transfer-messenger RNA". Rfam says of the family: Bacterial tmRNA, also known as 10Sa RNA or SsrA, is named for its dual tRNA and mRNA-like properties. Its role is to liberate the mRNA from a stalled ribosome. RNAcentral also lists the same sequence under 1 other name. The record is from RNAcentral.
GGGGGUGACUGGUUUCGACGGAGAAUUUCCUCUGUUGCGCGCAAGACGGUGAAUGCUGGAGAUCACCUUAAACCUCGAGCACUGAAACGUGCAAACGCUUCUAUAAAGAGCCCUUACAAUUUCGCUUUUGCGACUGCGUAAGUUCCCUCUUCCGUCCUCGCUUCGGCCGGGACGGCGCUAGGCUUCUGAUGUCUAAUAGGAAGACUCUAGUGCCAUAACAUCAGACUCUAUUCUUCUUUACUGCUCGUAGAAAAGAAUGAAAUUGAAGAGCUCGGAUAGGUGUCAUUUUGUUCGUUCUCUACCCACCUGUCUUAAACCUUGAAACGAACUAUGUCUUGUAGAAACGCUUCGGAGACCCUCUCUGUACGGGAGUUCGACUCUCCCCACCUCCACAA